GGCGAGCUCUCCGGCAUCGCGGCGCAGGAGCUCUUCCUUUGGUUCCCGGUGCACGGGAUCCGUGUUGACGUCCCCAGCUCCGGGCUGAUCUACUUUGAUGUCGGAGUUGUUCACAAGCAGUUCUCUCUAUCGCUGUUUGAGUCUCCACCGGAGUGCGAGCCGGUGAAAGCCCUUGCCUCCGGCGAGGGCUCUCGUCUCGCCAGCAUCAUCGCUAAGAGCAAUUUAG
RNAcentral lists this unclassified non-coding RNA (226 nucleotides) under Hevea brasiliensis (rubber tree). Lineage: Eukaryota; Viridiplantae; Streptophyta; Magnoliopsida; Malpighiales; Euphorbiaceae. The record is from RNAcentral.